UCUUCAUUUCGCACACUCUCUCACUGGUCAGAGUUACGAGAGCGUGUGGGAAAUGAAGAGA
This 61-nucleotide microRNA precursor is filed under the name Pristionchus pacificus. RNAcentral describes it as "mir-8364 microRNA precursor family". It matches the Rfam family "mir-8364 microRNA precursor family". The record is from Rfam by way of RNAcentral. Lineage: Eukaryota; Metazoa; Nematoda; Chromadorea; Rhabditida; Neodiplogasteridae.